RNAcentral lists this ribosomal RNA (113 nucleotides) under Neogale vison (American mink). Lineage: Eukaryota; Metazoa; Chordata; Mammalia; Carnivora; Mustelidae. The record is from RNAcentral.
GUCUAUGGCCAUACCACCCUGAAUGCGCCCGAUCUCGUCUGAUCUCGGAAGCUAAGCAGGGUCGGGCCUGGUUAGUACUUGGAUGGGAAAGGCGUGCCUGGUGAGUCUGGCCA